AAAAUGCUCCAAAUUUUUUGAAAUUCUAGCAUAACGAUGAGCAACUUUGGUAGAUGUGGAAUUUGGCGUUGGAAUUUCCAAAAUGUCUGCCGUUUCCAUGGAAACAAUGCAAAAAGGUCAAAAUGCUCCAAAAACUUCAGGGUUUGGUGAAUAACUUUGGUAUGCUUGAACUUAAAAUCAUCAAAUUUUUAUACAAUAUAGUUGUCCACUAUAUACAGGUUUUGAAUGAUUAUGACAAUCAUUGGAACUACUCUGUUACCAUGGAUACAGGAUCAAAUAUUUCAAAAAUUUCAAAAUGCUCCAAAAUUGAUGAAACUUAAUAUUAUUGUUGACUGCCAAGUCUGGAUGAGACUUUUGACUUUGGAAUUUCCAAAAUGGCCACCGUUGCCAUGGAAACUGCAAAAAAGUCAAAAA
This 414-nucleotide long non-coding RNA is filed under the name Mytilus galloprovincialis (Mediterranean mussel). The record is from RNAcentral. Lineage: Eukaryota; Metazoa; Mollusca; Bivalvia; Mytilida; Mytilidae.